This 465-nucleotide ribosomal RNA is filed under the name uncultured bacterium. RNAcentral's name for it is "SSU rRNA". It matches the Rfam family "Bacterial small subunit ribosomal RNA", at positions 26 to 518 of the family's 1533-position model. The record is from RNAcentral.
AGGAUUAACGCUGGCGGCGUGCCUGACACAUGCAAGUCGAACGAGGCCGCAAGGCCGAGUGGCGGACGGGUGAGUAACACGUGACCAACCAACCUCGAAGUUGGGAAUAGCUCUGCGAAAGUAGGGGUAAUACCGAAUGUGGCCCAGGGCGGGCAUCCGCCUUGGUCUAAAGAUUCAUCGCUUCGAGACGGGGUCGCGGCCUAUUAGCUUGUUGGUGAGGUAACGGCUCACCAAGGCGAUGAUGGGUAGCUGGUCUGAGAGGACGACCAGCCACACUGGGACUGAGACACGGCCCAGACUCCUACGGGAGGCAGCAGUGAGGAAUCUUCCGCAAUGGGCGAAAGCCUGACGGAGCAACGCCGCGUGUGGGAUGAAGACUCUAGGGUUGUAAACCACUGUCGGAGGGGACGAUCGUGACCGGUACCCUCCAAGAAACGCCCCGGCUAACUACGCGCCAGCAGCCGC